AUACUGCUGAGCUAGGGACCGGGAGAGGCCGAGGGUAUUCCCGGGGUAGGGGUGAAAUCCUGUAAUCCCGGGAGGACCACCUGUGGCGAAGGCGCUCGGCUGGAACGGGUCCGACGGUGAGGGACGAAGGCCUGGGGAGCGAACCGGAUUAGAUACCCGGGUAGUCCAGGCUGUAAACGAUGCGGGCUAGGUGUCACCGGAGCUACGAGCUCCGGUGGUGCCAGAGGGAAGCCGUUAAGCCCGCCGCCUGGGAAGUACGGCCGCAAGGCUGAAACUUAAAGGAAUUGGCGGGGGAGCACUACAACGGGUGGAGCCUGCGGUUUAAUUGGAUUCAACGCCGGGAAGCUUACCGGGGGAGACAGCGGGAUGAAGGUCGGGCUGAAGACCUUACCAGACUAGCUGAGAGGUGGUGCAUGGCCGCCGUCAGUUCGUACUGUGAAGCAUCCUGUUAAGUCAGGCAACGAGCGAGACCCGCGCCCUCAGUUGCCAGCGGGUCCCUUCGGGGACGCCGGGCACACUGAGGGGACUGCCGGCGCUAAGCCGGAGGAAGGCGCGGGCAACGGCAGGUCCGUAUGCCCCGAAUCCCCCGGGCUACACGCGGGCUACAAUGGCCGGGACAAUGGGUACCGACCCCGAAAGGGGUGGGUAAUCUCCUAAACCCGGUCUAACCUGGGAUCGAGGGCUCAACUCGCCCUCGUGAACCUGGAAUCCGUAGUAAUCGCGUCUCAAGAU
Molecule: ribosomal RNA, 732 nt
Filed under: uncultured archaeon
Lineage: Archaea
Description: bacterial SSU rRNA
Rfam family: Archaeal small subunit ribosomal RNA
Source: RNAcentral